UACGUAGGGGGCGAGCGUUGUCCGGAAUUACUGGGCGUAAAGGGUGCGUAGGCGGUUUGGUAAGUUGGAUGUGAAAUACCCGGGCUUAACUUGGGGGCUGCAUCCAAUACUGUCGGACUUGAGUGCAGGAGAGGAAAGCGGAAUUCCUAGUGUAGCGGUGAAAUGCGUAGAUAUUAGGAGGAACACCGGUGGCGAAGGCGGCUUUCUGGACUGUAACUGACGCUGAGGCACGAAAGCGUGGGGAGCAAACA
RNAcentral lists this ribosomal RNA (251 nucleotides) under uncultured bacterium. RNAcentral describes it as "partial 16S ribosomal RNA". It matches the Rfam family "Bacterial small subunit ribosomal RNA", at positions 524 to 774 of the family's 1533-position model. The record is from RNAcentral.